CUUCCUCCAUUGAUUCUUCAUCUCCUUUAGAGCAUCCAAGAGAUCAAGAGAAGAAGAUGUAGUUCAGCCCACAAAGAUCCUUGCGAGUUAGCACUCCCGAGGAGCCUGAUCUGCAUCGAUCUUCAUAUGGAUGAUUUGUAGAAGCCAGAUACCUUUGUGUGACCGUGAGCAACCUGAAGGAGCACCUAUCCACAUGUUGAACUAGCAGAGAUCAAUAGAUUACAGUUCAG
Molecule: long non-coding RNA, 230 nt
Filed under: Elaeis guineensis (African oil palm)
Lineage: Eukaryota; Viridiplantae; Streptophyta; Magnoliopsida; Arecales; Arecaceae
Description: long non-coding RNA (EGUI_LNC057659)
Source: RNAcentral